Molecule: long non-coding RNA, 1538 nt
Filed under: Strigops habroptila (Kakapo)
Lineage: Eukaryota; Metazoa; Chordata; Aves; Psittaciformes; Psittacidae
Description: lncRNA (ENSSHBG00005003408.1)
Source: RNAcentral
UUCUUUUUCUGUUUUACAUAGAUGUUUCCACAAAAAGAAAAGACCUUCCACUGUAGAACAAAAAAUCAGUGGCACCUCUGUGCAUGCUUGAAAAAUAUAUACCACCAUUUUGGUCAAAUACAUAUAAAUAAUAAGGGGACAAAGAAAUCCUGCUGCCAUGGUACUUAAACUCAUGGAAAAUACGUGACCGUAAUUAGCUGUGCUGAAAUACAUGAUUGUAGUCAAGCUCCUUCCCAUGCUUGCCUUCCACUUAGGUGCUUGCGUCUUUUGCAUCUCCCCUCACACAGCAAAGCAGGCCACUUUGAGGUCUUAAAAUCUGUAAUUAUCCUUCCAUUUUCAUUUCACAGCUCCUGUCACUGCCCCUGGUUAUACAUACAGCUCUGAGUUUCCCAUCAAAACUCUCAACAGGCCAAGAAGCAGAAAAAAGUGGGAUUUGUAAAGCGAAGGAGACUUAUGCUGUAAACACAGGAGGACCACGUAGAGUAUUUUAAUGACCCUUUUUUAUCUCUUUCCAGCAGACCUUUCUUUACUGCUCCUGUUACAGCAUCUACUAGUUGACCAUGGAGGAAGCUAGGACCAAGCAAUCCUGAAUGCAUAAGGUUGGAAAGUGCCUUUAAGUUCAGCUCACUCCUUUGUUUCUUCAACUGUUUUGACUGUAUUAGCAGUCUUGUACACAACAAGCAUUCACUCACUUCUGGUCUUGCCCCUCCUUGCUUUGCUUUCUGGAGUUUGGACACAUUUUCUCUGCACAGUGGGUGCUUUUAAAUUCCACUGUCCAAAAUCUUCAGUAUCUAGAAAUUUGAUAGCUUCAUCCUUCCCUACCUUUCAGCAGUCCAACCACCCGUGUAUUACUUAAGUGUAGUUAAGUUUUCCACUGAUUCUAACAUAUGUUUAAGGAAUAUGUUUUUGAAAACUCUUCCCUUUUUCUCCUGUUUUAUGUGUUUUGCUAUGGCAAGAUUUGAAGGACAGUGCUAAGGAGCAUGACACCACUCCAGGAAAGCUUUCAGUCAUAAACAAGCCCACUGUUUUAACCAUGGGAUAACCAGCUCUGCCAGCAACUGUGUGCUUAAAACUUGAUAUGCACAGAGGCAGUGUCAAAAUGUUCAGCAUCUUGCAAAACUGAGUUGUAGCCCAGUUGUUAAACAGGUAUCCACUAUCUCAAUACUGUUGAUGGGUCAUAGAUUUGCUAAUUUGGAAGCCAUCCUGCACACACUUCUGUCUUGAUAGACCUGGGAGACAGCUCCUCUGGCAUUGCUGUUGUAGUAAUGCCUACAGCUAUUGUGGAAAGGUUAUAUCUUCAGGAAAGGUUAUAUCUUUGCUCUGAGAAGAUGCCCAGCCCGUAAGUUGCUGUCCACGUGUCUUGUGGAUCAAAGUUACUGAAUGUCCAUCAGUCUCCAGGAGUGACAGCACUCUGUCCUAGAAUUAGUGCAAAAAAUCUCUCAAGACAUGGGACAAAUCUUUUUUUGAUGGCACUGAAUUCUGAGGCUUUUAGUGGAAUUAAGUAGAAGUGAUAGCAAACAAAUAAUGUCAGAUUGGCC